CUCCUAGCCCAGGGCCAAGUCACCGAGGCAGAGGAACUUCUUCAAAAUCUGUUUCAGCAGUCCCUGUCUGGGCCCCAGGCCUCAGUGGGGCUUGAGCUGGGCAGCGGAGUGACGGUCUCCAGCGGGCAGGGUAUCCCACCCCCUACCCGGGGGAAUAGCAAGCCGCUUUCCUGCUUCGUGGCCCCGGACUCCGGCCGCCUGCCAUCCAUCCCUGAGAACGUGAGUGGGGAGGGGUCUCUGGGGGUGAGAACAGGUCCCGAAACCCGGACCAGGGAUGCAAGAUCCAGGGGCCCGUCCACGCCCAGCGCGACUCUCUGAUCCUCAGAGGAACCUAACGGAGCUGGUGGUGGCCGUGACUGACGAGAACAUCGUGGGGCUGUUCGCGGCGCUCCUGGCCGAGAGAAGAGUCCUGCUCACCGCCAGCAAACUCAGCACCGGGUUCGAGUUGUCACUCAUUAUCCAGCAGUGGAUGGGGAGGGGGAAC
This 484-nucleotide small RNA is filed under the name Pan troglodytes (chimpanzee). RNAcentral's name for it is "retained intron". The record is from RNAcentral. Lineage: Eukaryota; Metazoa; Chordata; Mammalia; Primates; Hominidae.